This 230-nucleotide unclassified non-coding RNA is filed under the name uncultured fungus. Its description in RNAcentral is "sequence contains ITS1, 5.8S rRNA gene". The stretch from base 182 to 230 matches the Rfam family "5.8S ribosomal RNA", at positions 1 to 49 of the family's 154-position model. The record is from RNAcentral. Lineage: Eukaryota; Fungi.
UCUCCGUAGGUGAACCUGCGGAGGGAUCAUUACUGAGUGAGGGCCCCCGGCCCGACCUCCAACCCUUUGUGUAUCUCGACCCUGUUGCCUCGGGGGCGACCCGGCCUUCGGGCGUCGGGGCCCCGGCGGACCACUCAACUCUGCAUCUUUGCGUCUGAGUCUUAUAUAUGAAUUAAAUCAAAACUUUCAACAACGGAUCUCUUGGUUCUGGCAUCGAUGAAGAACGCAGC